Molecule: long non-coding RNA, 2214 nt
Organism: Capsicum annuum
Lineage: Eukaryota; Viridiplantae; Streptophyta; Magnoliopsida; Solanales; Solanaceae
Exons: 5
Source: RefSeq, a predicted model, not a curated record
CAAUAUCCGAAUAUAUACGAAAUAGGACUAGAUUAAUAUGUAUAUUUAUAUAUGUGGUGCAGAUUUAUUUUGAUGGUUUUAAUGGUGGCCACAUAUGUGUACCAUGUGUCAAACAAUGAUUAGUCCUUUGUAUGUUAGGAUAUCUUGUGAUUUCUUUUAGAAAUCCUGCAGGUACUUAUAUAUAUUUACACUACAAAUAAACUCUCAUAUAAAAACUUUGGUUUCUAUCAAUAAAAAAUAGUACCAUAUGUGUUGCCGAUGUACGUGAGGGGUGGGAUCAUUGAUCCUUAAGUGUUCUUUUUCCUCCAUCUCUUUGUUUUUCCAUUCAUGGAUGGUUCGAGGUGUUGUAUGUGACACGCGGUAUGCUUAUUCGCAUAUAAUUAAUUAUCAAUAUCGAGUUAUUCAAACUCGGGUUCUAGUGGCACUGUCCGAAGGCUUUGCGAAAAGAUAUUUCAGCUUUGACGUCCAGACAGUACGAUAGUCGAGCGGGUGGCAAAUGUAAUUCCCCGGAUUUUCAACUGGCAGAUGGUUGGAAUCAAAGUUAAGUAGGAGAAGUUUAUGGAUGGUAUAUUCAGCAAGAUAUGCUCCCCGGAGAUAGAUGUGUGCACCAUCUCCAUCCUAUCGGGAGUACGAUUGUUCUGCAUGUGGUGGUCUUAUGAUCAAGUAAAGGAAGAACGAAGCACCGGAAAAAGUGGCAUUGAAGCUAUGUUUCAACGAAUGUUGGAUCUCCAGAAAGAAAUGUAUGAUAUUGUAUGUGAUAUGCAUCAGGACAUGAGACCAAUCAUUCAUGAGGAGAUGGAUAUCUAGGUCAAUCAUAUAAAGCACUCUUCUAUAUUAUGUUUAGAUGAUAUCUUGUCUGUGUAAUCAUUUAGAAUAAUUGAAGAGUGUGAAGAUGAGGAUCAAGAAUCCUAUACUGAUGAGGAGCUUGAUGUUGAUCAACCCUUGGAUAUUUUUCAACCAACUGAACCAACCAUGAGGGAUGAUGCCAAGAUUAAGAAAAUGGUGCUAGAGACAAAAGAAGAAAUCAAGCACAAUCCUGGUGAAGACUCUAGUCCAUUUCGGGGUAAAGAUACUAAUAGGGAUGAUACUCCGAAAUUGAGGGUUAGUCCUCAUUCAAACCACUUUUCAACAUUAUGCUUGGUGGGUGUGAUGAAGGUCUAAUCACCCAAGCAAAUGAUGAAGUUUGAAAAUGAGGAGGACUAUUCUUACAUUUUGGAGUUUGUCCUUCCAAAAGGGUAUAAUACAACCCCAACCUUGAAGGCCAAAAAGCUUAAAGAUCGAUAUCCAUUUAGUGGUUGUUUAAGAUUCUCACAGUUGCUAAAUGAGCCCACAUGAAAGCUUAGUGCAAAAUUGGGCAAACAGUUCAAGUCUUCGAAGUGGCGUGAUAGAACAUUCCUCAUCAUGCCCUCACAUUUGCCCAACACACUCCGAAAAUGUAUUGAUCAAAAGUUGGGCCGGCGUUUCAAAUCCACCAGGUGGAGACAUAAAUAAUUAUCAACAAGGUAUCUUGACGAAGUCUGAGUAGUCAAGAUAACUGAGUCACGCCGUGAAGUUAAACCAGGCUCUGCUUGGGAGGCAACCCAAGAUGUAAGUGAUUGGGGAGGACACUAAAGGAAAGAAGAACAAAUCAGUUGAAAUCUGGUGCAAAUAAUAUGACGUAGAGUUGACAACAUAUUUGAAGCGCCGUCAGACAUGUGAAAGGCUAUCAAAAUUUCCACCAAGCUUAGACAAAACCUGAAGAAGUGAAGUGAAGUGUGACGAUAUAUUUGAAGCGUCGUCAGACCUGUGAUAAGACAUCUAAAUUGUCGUCAACUCUAAACAGAACAGGAUGAUUUCUAGUGUAGAUGUGAUGACAUUUCUGACAUGCCAUCACAUAUUUGACACGCCAUCAAGAUUUUGUCAUCAGGACAAGUAUAAGAUGCUAAUAUACUGGAACAUUUGACGACAUUUUGCACAAGCCGUCAGAACUCUGACGUGCAGUCACAAAUGGCAUCACCUAUUUCGAGAAUUUUAUUAAUUUUGUUAUUUUAUUUCCUUAAUUAGGUUUUAGUAUAAAUAGCAUCUUUUAGGGUUUAUUUAGGAGAGAGGAGGCCGCACAUCUUGAACAUACGUAUUUGGAGAGAAUUCUCUCUCUAGGUUUCCCCUGUAAACUUUACAAUUAUUUUGGAAUUUUCUCUUUUGAUCUAAUUGGAGAAACACUUUUUGCUAUUCAUC